AGUGAACGCUGGCGGUAGGCCUAACACAUGCAAGUCGAACGGCAGCACAGUAAGAGCUUGCUCUUACGGGUGGCGAGUGGCGGACGGGUGAGGAAUACAUCGGAAUCUACUUUUUCGUGGGGGAUAACGUAGGGAAACUUACGCUAAUGCCGCAUACGACCUACGGGUGAAAGCAGGGGAUCUUCGGACCUUGCGCGAUUGAAUGAGCCGAUGUCGGAUUAGCUAGUUGGCGGGGUAAAGGCCCACCAAGGCGACGAUCCGUAGCUGGUCUGAGAGGAUGAUCAGCCACACUGGAACUGAGACACGGUCCAGACUCCUACGGGAGGCAGCAGUGGGGAAUAUUGGACAAUGGGCGCAAGCCUGAUCCAGCCAGACCGCGUGGGUGAAGAAGGCCUUCGGGUUGUAAAGCCCUUUUGUUGGGAAAGAAAAGCAGCAGGUUAAUACCCCGCUGUUCUGACGGUACCCAAAGAAUAAGCACCGGCUAACUUCGU
This 491-nucleotide ribosomal RNA is filed under the name uncultured bacterium. RNAcentral's name for it is "partial 16S ribosomal RNA". It matches the Rfam family "Bacterial small subunit ribosomal RNA", at positions 29 to 506 of the family's 1533-position model. The record is from RNAcentral.